CCCGGAGGUCACUGCCAGAACCUUCUCAGACGUGCCCUCAAAGGAGCCUCAGAAUGUGAGCGUUGAGGCUGCCAGCUCAAGGAACCUCAUCAUCUGCUGGGAGCCUCCGCUGGCCGAGCACCAGAAUGGGAUCAUCACCAGCUGCAAGAUCCGCUACAAAGAGCGCGGCGAGUCAGGUUCCUCCAAGACCAAAGCCACAGACGGAAACAGACGACUCUUUGCCCUCAAGAAAAGCACCACAUACUCCAUAAAGAGGUGCCAAAGGAAGGCUCGUCCAGCCACGCCCUGCAGCCAGCCAUCCCUCAUUCCCUCCUGCUCGUUCUCCUCAAGUAAAGAUUAUUUGCCCCGAGGAACAACCUCCUGGAUCUUCUACUGAAUACAU
Molecule: long non-coding RNA, 382 nt
Organism: Eriocheir sinensis (Chinese mitten crab)
Lineage: Eukaryota; Metazoa; Arthropoda; Malacostraca; Decapoda; Varunidae
Exons: 3
Source: RefSeq, a predicted model, not a curated record